This 485-nucleotide ribosomal RNA is filed under the name uncultured bacterium. Its description in RNAcentral is "partial 16S ribosomal RNA". It matches the Rfam family "Bacterial small subunit ribosomal RNA", at positions 28 to 507 of the family's 1533-position model. The record is from RNAcentral.
GAUGAACGCUCGCGAUAGGCUUAACACAUGCAAGUCGAGGGGCAGCGAGGGUAGCAAUACCUGUCGGCGACCGGCGCACGGGUGAGUAACGCGUAUGUAACCUGCCCGCAACAGGGGGAUAACCCGGCGAAAGUCGGACUAAUACCGCAUAAAACAGGGGUCCCGCAUGGGAAUAUUUGUUAAAGAUUUAUCGGUUGCGGAUGGGCAUGCGUACCAUUAGGUAGUUGGUGAGGUAACGGCUCACCAAGCCUUCGAUGGUUAGGGGUUCUGAGAGGAAGGUCCCACACACUGGUACUGAGACACGGACCAGACUCCUACGGGAGGCAGCAGUGAGGAAUAUUGGUCAAUGGGCGAGAGCCUGAACCAGCCAAGUCGCGUGAAGGAUGACUGCCCUAUGGGUUGUAAACUUCUUUUACAAGGGAAUAAAAUGAGAUACGUGUAUUUUAUUGCAUGUACCUUGGGAAUAAGCAUCGGCUAACUCCGUG